ACUGGGCAUGGUGGCACGUGCCUGUAGUCCCAGCUACUCUGGAGGCUGAGGUGGGAGGAUCGCUUGAGCCCAGGAGUUGUGGGCUGUAGUGUGCUCUGCCAAUCGGGUGUCUACACUAAGUUUGGCAUCAAUAUGGUGACCUCUCGGGAGUGGGGGACCACAAAGUUGCAUAAGGAGGGGUGUAUGGUCCAGGGUGGAAAGAAAGCACAUCAAAACUCCUCUGCUGAUUAGUGGGAUCGCACCUGUGAACAGCCACUGCGUUCCAGCUUGGGCAACACAGCGAGACCCCAUCUCUU
Molecule: unclassified non-coding RNA, 296 nt
Organism: Callithrix jacchus (white-tufted-ear marmoset)
Lineage: Eukaryota; Metazoa; Chordata; Mammalia; Primates; Cebidae
Rfam family: Metazoan signal recognition particle RNA
About the family: The signal recognition particle (SRP) is a universally conserved ribonucleoprotein. It is involved in the co-translational targeting of proteins to membranes. The eukaryotic SRP consists of a 300-nucleotide 7S RNA and six proteins: SRPs 72, 68, 54, 19, 14, and 9.
Source: Ensembl